RNAcentral lists this ribosomal RNA (959 nucleotides) under uncultured eubacterium SRang2.2. RNAcentral's name for it is "SSU rRNA". It matches the Rfam family "Bacterial small subunit ribosomal RNA", at positions 524 to 1482 of the family's 1533-position model. The record is from RNAcentral.
UACGGAGGGUGCAAGCGUUACUCGGAAUCACUGGGCGUAAAGCGCGCGCANGCGGUCUUUUAAGUUGGAUGUGAAAUCCUAUGGCUCAACCAUAGAAACUGCAUCCAAAACUGAAAGAACUANAUUCUGGGAGGGGAAGAAUGGAAUUAGUGGUGUAGGGGUAAAUUCCGUAAAAAUCACUAGGAAUACCAAAAGCGAAGGCGAUCUCCUGGAACAUUACUGACCCUAAGGCCCAAAACCUUGGGGAGCAAACAGGAUUAAAUACCCUGGUAUUCCACCCCCUAAACUAUAAAUGUUAUUCUUCGGGGGGCUUGUCUCCUCGGUGAUGCANCUAACNCAUUAAACAUUCCGCCCUGGGGAGUACGGUCGCAAGAUUAAAACUCAAAGGAAUNAGACGGGGACCCGCACAAGUGGUGGAGCAUGUGGUUUAAUUCGAAGAUACGCGAAGAACCUUACCUGGCCUUGACAUUGAUAGAAUCUGCUAGAGAUAGCGGAGUGCCCUUCGGGGAGCUUGAAAACAGGUGCUGCACGGCUGUCGUCAGCUCGUGUCGUGAGAUGUUGGGUUAAGUCCCGCAACGAGCGCAAGCCCUCGUCACUAGUUACUAACGGUUCGGCCGAGGACUCUAGUGAGACUGCCUUCGUAAGGAGGAGGAAGGUGAGGACGACGUCAAGUCAUCAUGGCCCUUACGGCCAGGGCGACACACGUGCUACAAUGGGAUGUACAAUGAGACGCAAUACCGCGAGGUGGAGCAAAUCUAUAAAGCAUCUCUCAGUUCGGAUUGUAGUCUGCAACUCGACUACAUGAAGCUGGAAUCACUAGUAAUCGUAGAUCAGCCAUGCUACGGUGAAUACGUUCCCGGGUCUUGUACUCACCGCCCGUUACACCAUGGGAGUUGAUUUCACCCGAAGCGGGGAAGCUAAACUGGCUACCCUCCACGGUGGAAUCAGCGACUGGGGUG